AUGGCCGCGGAGAACUACUGGAGGUACGCCGACGCGCGGCAGCAGCAGGCCAUGGUGGCGGCUGCGGCGGCCGCGGCGGGGAUGGCCCCUGCAGCUACCGUUGCGCAGGCCGCGACGGCCGCGGGGGGCAUGCAGCAGCACCAGCACCAGCACCAGCACCAGCAGGCGGCGAUGGCGCAACAGCAGCAGCAGCAGCAACAGCAGCAGCAGGCGGCCGCGCCGUCGCUUAAGCGCGCGCGCCCAGACUAUGGCGAUGGUCCUGGAGGACAAGAGAUGGCUGGAUAUUAUCCGCGGGAAAAUGCAGGUUACCACUCACUUAGAGACAAUGAAGCAAUUGGAGCAUCUUACGACCGCUACUUACGCAAUGGGAUGCCUUCUGUGGCAGCCAAUGAACCAAGUAGGGCAGUUGUUGGUGCCAUGGGUGGAGCUGCAAUGGUUGGUGGUGGAAUGAGUGGAUAUCCUGUUGAUGACCACCGUAUGAUGGGUGUCGUUGGUAUGGACAGCAGAGCCAUGGGGUAUGGUGCAAGACCUGAGCCUCCUCUUCCCCCGGAUGCAUCCAACACCUUGUAUAUUGAAGGUCUGCCUGCAAACUGCACCCGUAGGGAGGUUUCACAUAUAUUCCGCCCUUUUGUUGGUUUCCGUGAAGUGAGGCUUGUCAACAAAGAGUCAAGACACCCUGGUGGAGAUCCUCAUGUCCUGUGUUUCGUUGAUUUUGAUAGCCCUGCCCAAGCUACUAUUGCACUUGAAGCCCUGCAAGGUUAUAAGUUUGACGAACACGAUCGUGAAUCAGCCCAUUUAAGGCUGCAAUUCUCGCGCUUUCCUGGUCCGAGGUCAGCUGGCGGGCCUCGUGGUAGGCGUUAA
RNAcentral lists this ribosomal RNA (861 nucleotides) under Triticum aestivum (bread wheat). Its description in RNAcentral is "partial small subunit ribosomal RNA". The record is from RNAcentral. Lineage: Eukaryota; Viridiplantae; Streptophyta; Magnoliopsida; Poales; Poaceae.